GACAGCGGCGAACGGCUGAGUAACGCGUGAGCAACCUGUCCUCUGGUGGGGUAAAACCUCGAGAAAUUGAGGCUAAUACCGCACGAGUUCCCCAGGCCCUGGCUUGGGGAGGAAAGUCCCGAGCAAUCGGGAUGCCAGAGGAGGGGCUCGCGUCCUAUCAGGUAGUUGGUGGGGUAACGGCCUACCAAGCCGAUGACGGGUAGCUGGUCUGAGAGGAUGGCCAGCCAGAGGGGGACUGAGACACGGCCCCCACUCCUACGGGAGGCAGCAGCAGGGAAUCUUGGGCAAUGGGCGAAAGCCUGACCCAGCGACGCCGCGUGGGGGAAGAAGGCCCUCGGGUCGUAAACCCCUUUUCCGGGGGAAGAGUAAGGACGGUACCCCGGGAAUAAGCCCCGGCUAACUACGUGCCAGCAGCCGCGGUAACACGUAGGGGGCAAGCGUUACCCGGAUUUACUGGGCGUAAAGGGCGCGUAGGCGGCUUGGCAAGUCCUCUGUGAAAGCUCCCGGCUUAACUGGGAGAGGUCAGGGGAAACUGUCAGACUAGAGGGCAGCAGAGGAGAGUAGAAUUCCCGGUGUAGCGGUGACAUGCGUAGAUAUCGGGAGGA
RNAcentral lists this ribosomal RNA (605 nucleotides) under uncultured bacterium. RNAcentral describes it as "bacterial SSU rRNA". It matches the Rfam family "Bacterial small subunit ribosomal RNA", at positions 91 to 705 of the family's 1533-position model. The record is from RNAcentral.